Molecule: ribosomal RNA, 427 nt
Filed under: uncultured Veillonella sp.
Lineage: Bacteria; Bacillati; Bacillota; Negativicutes; Veillonellales; Veillonellaceae
Description: bacterial SSU rRNA
Rfam family: Bacterial small subunit ribosomal RNA
Source: RNAcentral
UGGGGAAUCUUCCGCAAUGGACGAAAGUCUGACGGAGCAACGCCGCGUGAGUGAUGACGGCCUUCGGGUUGUAAAGCUCUGUUAAUCGGGACGAAUGGCUACCAUGCGAAUAGUGUGGAAGUUUGACGGUACCGGAAUAGAAAGCCACGGCUAACUACGUGCCAGCAGCCGCGGUAAUACGUAGGUGGCAAGCGUUGUCCGGAAUUAUUGGGCGUAAAGCGCGCGCAGGCGGAUCUGCCAGUCUGUCUUAAAAGUUCGGGGCUCAACCCCGUGAUGGGAUGGAAACUACAGAUCUAGAGUAUCGGAGGGGAAAGUGGAAUUCCUAGUGUAGCGGUGAAAUGCGUAGAUAUUAGGAGGAACACCAGUGGCGAAGGCGACUUUCUGGACGAUCACUGACGCUGAGGCGCGAAAGCCAGGGGAGCGAACG